GGGGGGGGGCAAGCGUUAUUCGGGAAUUACUGGGCGUAAAGGGCUCGUAGGCGGCCAACUAAGUCACACGUGAAAUCCCUCGGGCUCAACCGGGGGAACUGCGUGUGAUACUGGAUGGCUCGAGUUCGGGAGAGGGAUGCGGAAUUCCAGGUGUAGCGGUGAAAUGCGUAGAUAUCUGGAGGAACACCGGUGGCGAAGGCGGCAUCCUGGACCGAGACUGACGCUGAGUGAGCGAAAGCCAGGGGAGCAAACGGGAUUAGAUACCCCGGUAGUCCUGGCCCUAAACGAUGAAUGCUUGGUGUGGCGGGUAUCGAUCCCUGCCGUGCCGAAGCUAACGCAUUAAGCAUUCCGCCUGGGGAGUACGGUCGCAAGGCUG
RNAcentral lists this ribosomal RNA (376 nucleotides) under uncultured organism. RNAcentral describes it as "partial 16S ribosomal RNA". It matches the Rfam family "Bacterial small subunit ribosomal RNA", at positions 526 to 896 of the family's 1533-position model. The record is from RNAcentral.